RNAcentral lists this ribosomal RNA (402 nucleotides) under uncultured Sphingomonas sp. RNAcentral's name for it is "bacterial SSU rRNA". It matches the Rfam family "Bacterial small subunit ribosomal RNA", at positions 355 to 774 of the family's 1533-position model. The record is from RNAcentral. Lineage: Bacteria; Pseudomonadati; Pseudomonadota; Alphaproteobacteria; Sphingomonadales; Sphingomonadaceae.
UGGGGAAUAUUGGACAAUGGGCGAAAGCCUGAUCCAGCAAUGCCGCGUGAGUGAUGAAGGCCUUAGGGUUGUAAAGCUCUUUUACCCGGGAUGAUAAUGACAGUACCGGGAGAAUAAGCCCAGGCUAACUCCGUGCCAGCAGCCGCGGUAAUACGGAGGGGGCUAGCGUUGUUCGGAAUUACUGGGCGUAAAGCGCACGUAGGCGGCUUUGUAAGUUAGAGGUGAAAGCCCGGGGCUCAACUCCGGAAUUGCCUUUAAGACUGCAUCGCUUGAAUUGUGGAGAGGUAAGUGGAAUUCCGAGUGUAGAGGUGAAAUUCGUAGAUAUUCGGAAGAACACCAGUGGCGAAGGCGACUUACUGGACACAUAUUGACGCUGAGGUGCGAAAGCGUGGGGAGCAAACA